GACGAACGCUGGCGGCGUGCUUAACACAUGCAAGUCGAACGGAAAGGCCCUGCUUUUGUGGGGUGCUCGAGUGGCGAACGGGUGAGUAACACGUAAGUAACCUGCCCUUGACUUUGGGAUAACUUCAGGAAACUGGGGCUAAUACCGGAUAGGAGCUCCUGCUGCAUGGUGGGGGUUGGAAAGUUUCGGCGGUUGGGUAUGGACUCGCGGCUUAUCAGCUUGUUGGUGGGGUAGUGGCUUACCAAGGCUUUGACGGGUAGCCGGCCUGAGAAGGUGACCGGCCACAUUGGGACUGAGAUACGGCACAGGCUGCUACGGGAGGCAGCAGUGGGGAAUAUUGCACAAUGGGCGGAAGCCUGAUGCAGCAACGCCGCGUGCGGGAUAACGGCUUUCGGGUUGUAAACCGCUUUGGCCUGUGACGAAGCGUGAGUGACGGUAAUGGGUAAAGAAGCAACGGCUAACUACGUG
RNAcentral lists this ribosomal RNA (468 nucleotides) under uncultured bacterium. RNAcentral describes it as "partial 16S ribosomal RNA". It matches the Rfam family "Bacterial small subunit ribosomal RNA", at positions 28 to 507 of the family's 1533-position model. The record is from RNAcentral.